This 480-nucleotide long non-coding RNA is filed under the name Equus asinus (donkey). RNAcentral describes it as "lncRNA (ENSEASG00005035182.1)". Lineage: Eukaryota; Metazoa; Chordata; Mammalia; Perissodactyla; Equidae. The record is from RNAcentral.
UCUGUGAUGGACCGUCCCAUAAGAUUCGCACCAUAGAGCCUAGACUCCAAACGUUUGCUUCCGUGACAUCUGACGAGCAGGGCGGGUUGUGAGGACGCUGCUGGACCCUGGAGCGCCUGCCUGGGUUUCCUCUCAGCUCUGCCCACUGGCCCAGCAAGCCAGCUCUGGAGGCCGGAAGUCCAAAAUCAAAGGGUCAGCAGCGCCCAGCUCCCUCUGAAGUCUCCAGGGGAGGGUCCUUCCUGCCUCUUCCAGCUUCUGCUGUUGCUGGCAAUCCUUGGCAUCUCUUGGCUUGUAGCUGCGUCACUCCAACCUCUGCCUCUGUCAUCACAUCGGCUUCUCCCUUCUGUGUGUCUCUGUGUCCAAACCCCCUCUCCUUUCUCUUAUGACACCAGUCAUGGGAUGUAGGGCCCACCCUAACCUACUAUGACCUCAUCUUCCCUUGAUUACAUCUAUCAAGAUCGUAUUUCCAAAUAAGGUCAC